CUCAGUUGGCGCUCGCUCUGCGCUCUGCCCGGCAGCACUCAGCUGUUGCUGCUGCUGCCUGGGCUUUUCCUGCUGCCUGCUCUGGAGCACCAAUCCCAGCAGGAUGAGCACUGCUGCUCCAGUGGAGACUGCCAGAGACAUUGUGGAGGAAAUGGAAGUGGACAUGGUGCAGGCUGAGGAAGAGAUGAUGGAAGUGGACGUGGAAGAGCAGGUUGAGGACAUGGAAGUAGAUGUGGAGGAUGACAUCGAGGAGAUGGAAGUGGAUGAGGAAGAUGAGGAGGAGCCCAUGGUCCUUGGAUGAAGUUGGAGCCCCACAAGACUGAUGCCGAUGAUGGCCACCGAUGUGACGCCUCUGUAAAUAUGUUUGAAACAGUAGAAGAAUUCUGUAAAUAUGUUUGAAACGGUAGAAGAAUUCUGUAAAUAUGUUCUGCGGUUAGAAGUUCUCUGUAAUUAUGUUUCGAAGAUUGUUAGUCCAUAGGAUCUCAUGUAAAUAUGUUCUGUAGAUUGUUAUUGUUGUUGUUAUAAGGAUUGUUGUAAUGAAAGAUGUUCUGUAAAUACUCGUGUUUGCCGAUCUUUGGCAAAUAAAUACUGCUUCUUUUUAAAA
Molecule: long non-coding RNA, 604 nt
Organism: Passer domesticus (house sparrow)
Lineage: Eukaryota; Metazoa; Chordata; Aves; Passeriformes; Passeridae
Exons: 3
Source: RefSeq, a predicted model, not a curated record